GAUGAACGCUGGCGGCGUGCCUAAUACAUGCAAGUCGAGCGAACAGACGAGGAGCUUGCUCCUCUGACGUUAGCGGCGGACGGGUGAGUAGCACGUGGAUAACCUACCUAUAAGACUGGGAUAACUUCGGGAAACCGGAGCUAAUACCGGAUAAUAUAUUGAACCGCAUGGUUCAAUAGUGAAAGACGGUUUUGCUGUCACUUAUAGAUGGAUCCGCGCCGCAUUAGCUAGUUGGUAAGGUAACGGCUUACCAAGGCAACGAUGCGUAGCCGACAUGAGAGGGUGAUCGGCCACACUGGAACUGAGACACGGUCCAGACUCCUACGGGAGGCAGCAGUAGGGAAUCUUCCGCAAUGGUCGAAAGCGUGACGGAGCAACGCCGCGUGAGUGAUGAAGGUCUUCGGAUCGUAAAACUCUGUUAUUAGGGAAGAACAAAUGUGUAAGUAACUAUGCACGUCUUGACGGUACCUAAUCAGAAAGCCACGGCUAACUACGUG
Molecule: ribosomal RNA, 497 nt
Filed under: uncultured bacterium
Lineage: Bacteria
Description: partial 16S ribosomal RNA
Rfam family: Bacterial small subunit ribosomal RNA
Source: RNAcentral